This is a long non-coding RNA of Astatotilapia calliptera (eastern happy), 935 nucleotides long. NCBI's taxonomy places the organism in Eukaryota, Metazoa, Chordata, Actinopteri, Cichliformes, Cichlidae. The record is from Ensembl.
UGUUUAUUAAAGUAAUCAGAUUACUAUGGGCAGAAAUCUGUGCCAUCAGAAACUGAAUUUGAAUUAGUCUAAUUUGAAAAUGAAUUGAUUUGCUUUGAAACUGCAUUUUAUCCUUUAAAAAUUCAGCUCUCGAAUAAUUUCAGUUUCACUUCUCACCAUUCAGUUUCAGUUCUACAAUUCAGUUUUUUGGAACUUGCAUCCGGUUCCGGUUCAAGCGCAGAUUAAUAGAACUACGUUUUACUAGCGGACCGAAAGUGUUACUGACGGGAAUCUACAGCGUCUUGAGCUGAAUUAAGACUUCAGAAGUCAUUCGUCAUGUCGAAUGACCAGCGGAUAAACUCUCAGGAGAAUUCCAACGUUGUCAUCUUGGACCCUCUCAGAGUACCCCCUCUGUACCCCAAGAGCGAAUGAAAAAACUGAGCGAGAGGGGCUGUUAUUAAAUGAAUGAAGUCGUCACCUCCCAGCUUCAGUCAGACUGGUUCACCUGUCCCCACACCAGUCACACCACUGGCUGAGAACAUGGAUAAUGUGACUUGGAGCUCUUUUGGUUCAGAGACAGCAAGCAGUUAGGCAAAGAGAGAAAAGCUCAGCCUGUGGGAUUCACUGAAAGAUGUCAUAGAAAUGCUCAGCACCAUCCACAAACAUUUGCAUUAUUUGCAAAGAACAUGGAGAACGUCGAUGCAUGAACGCAGCAGUACUCGUGUAUAUUAGGAAAACAACAUUUACAGCUACAUUUACCAGAGGACCACAGACCCACGCAGUAAACACAAGAGAGAUAAACAUGUUCGUGAACACAGGUUUGUUCUUAGAGAUUUAUGACUUAAUGCCAAACUAUUCUGUUUGGACAUCAGCGUGUCAUUGCUCAGUGCAACACAAUGCAGAUCAUGCAGUUUAACAGCAUUUGACACAUUUCUGUAUAUAAACAUGUUUCAGGC